GUCACUGUUUUGAAUGUGGCCUUUUCACACCUGAAAGUCUGAACCAAGGUCUGGACCAAGGUUCAUGUUUUUGUUAGAUAGUAUACAUGUGAUGCGGUUCGUUUGGUUUCACACUGCAGUUAUGCAAGCUCACUGAAGAACUCUACAUGACAUUCCUACGUCCUGUUGUCAUCACACAGGUGAGCUGAGU
Etheostoma spectabile (orangethroat darter) is the source of this 190-nucleotide long non-coding RNA. RefSeq lists it as uncharacterized. The transcript is spliced from 3 exons. The record is from RefSeq and is a predicted model, not a curated record. NCBI's taxonomy places the organism in Eukaryota, Metazoa, Chordata, Actinopteri, Perciformes, Percidae.